This 253-nucleotide ribosomal RNA is filed under the name uncultured bacterium. Its description in RNAcentral is "partial 16S ribosomal RNA". It matches the Rfam family "Bacterial small subunit ribosomal RNA", at positions 524 to 776 of the family's 1533-position model. The record is from RNAcentral.
UACAGAGGUCCCAAGCGUUGUUCGGAUUCACUGGGCGUAAAGGGUGCGUAGGUGGCGUCGCAAGUUCGAUGUGAAAUCUCCGGGCUUAACCCGGAAAUGGCAUUGAAUACUGCGGUGCUGGAGGUUUGGAGGGGGGACUGGAAUUCUUGGUGUAGCAGUGAAAUGCGUAGAUAUCGAGAGGAACACCAGUGGCGAAGGCGAGUCUCUGGACGACUCCUGACACUGAGGCACGAAAGCUAGGGGAGCAAACAGG